RNAcentral lists this long non-coding RNA (2902 nucleotides) under Equus asinus (donkey). RNAcentral's name for it is "lncRNA (ENSEASG00005032649.1, ENSEASG00020003239.1)". The record is from RNAcentral. Lineage: Eukaryota; Metazoa; Chordata; Mammalia; Perissodactyla; Equidae.
GCACAGGUGGCCUGAGGGUCAGCUUACAAGUUGGAAUAUGACACACGGGGUUUGAGUUUCCUUGACGUUUGAGUGUGUCAAGGCCAGCUUAGGUGUACCUCAGACUGAGCCAGAACUCCAGAUUAGUUUCAGAGCUCUCCUGAUCUCCUGGAAGUGCUUAUGACCACAAGACGAGUCUCUGGGUCAGGACAGAUGAGGAGGUCAGGAAGCCCUCCCCAGCAGACCUCCCACCCGCUCCAGAUGGAGUUAAUAAUUGCCCCCGCCCAGCAACCUUUGCUGCUCUCACUUGCUCCUCUUGCUGCAGUCAUUACACAGCUCACUUUGUUUACAGGAUCAUCUUUCCUCCAUGCUCUGGGCUCCUUGAGAGCAGGGCUCUGUUUUAUUCUCAGUGUCCCUGGGCGUCUUUAGCAUCUAGUACUUUCCUAGCACCUAGCUGAGGAGGGACUCAAUUGAGUGGGAGAGAAGAGACGCCACAGCCAACCCCAGAUCCCUGCUGGUCUUCACAGAGGCAGCGUAUUUUCCCGUGGGUUGUCGAGACUCUCCUCCAGCUCUAUGAGCUGUGAACGGCUAAGAGAGCAGGAAACAUGUCCUAUUCACAUCAUCAGGCAAAAUGCCUGCCCCUACCCGAGGCCUCAAAAUUGAAAUUGGACCCAUGAGAGGAGGCUUUCUGGAGGAAAUGAUAUUCAACCUGAGAACUAGAAAUCAAAUGCAUUUUGGAUCUUCAUACGGAAUUACAUGUUGGAAUGGAAAGAAAUUAAACCCAAAGGCCUGGGUCUGCCAUUGUGUGACCUGAAAUACGCAUUUGACCGUUCUGUGUCUUUCCUUGUGUGUGAAAUCGGUUUCAGAUUAAUGAAGCAUCGAUGCACUAUGUAUCCUGUUUGGUAAGACUUUUAUUCAAAUACAUUUUUGCAUAAUUAGGUUGUCAUGCAGGGAAUUCCAGUGUAAAAUAAAGUCCAGUGGAUAUGGGUUAUUUCAAUAAUAGCCCUUUUGUUAUUUAGAUGUAAAUUUACCUGCUUGUUCUAUUUGGAAAUCAGUUUGUUUAUACUACCUUAUGUUUAUAUCUUUAGCUUCUUCUGUACUGUGUCUUUCUUAUCCCCAUAAAUAUGAAUUAUCGACUACAUGAAACUGAUUCCAUAAGCUACAAGCUUAAAAAUUUGCACAAUUCUUAUGUUUGGCAAAAUUCUACGGAGGAAGAUAAUGUAUUGAAAAUAAAUAGGCUUGGUUAUGGGAAUGAUUCCAAGUUUCAGUCCUUGGCAGGGUUGGACUUCCACUGGAAAAUAAAAUUAGCCAAAACUGUAGCUCAAAAUCUUUUGAAAGAUAAAGCUAUGGGGAUUACACUAAUGUAUUCAAGGUGUCCAUGUACUUUGAGUACAGCUAAUAAUAAGCUCCCUGGAAAAUAUGAUGAAGACACUGGCAGGUUGUCAAAGUUCAACAAAAUCAACUUCAUGCACAUCCAAGACUACCAUUUCCAAAAUAAAUGGGUGGAUUCACCUUUAUCGUCUCAUUUGGAAUGCUAACUUUGGGAGUGUGGGAGGCAUUUUUCAUAAUCACAGGGAAGGGGACAAUAAGCUUUGCCUCCCACAUUCAGUGUGUCCUCACUGCUGUUUUAUCUCAGCAUCUGAAAUUCAAAGCAGCUUCCUCCAAAGCAAAAGGCCACCCAGGAGCUGGAAGGAAAGGAGCACAGGGAGGAAUUUGUGGUGAAAUUUGGCCACAGUCCCCGAAAGCCCACUUUCCUGUAUUUUUUCAGUGCUGAGUAAUAUUUGAGUGCUCCUAAUGAGAUAGAUGUUCUGCCCACCAGACUCAGCCUUCAGGAAUUCUGGAGCAGCGCUGUAUUCUUCCUAAGAUGAUUAGACUACAGAUAUUACUUCGCUGUUCCAAAACACAGAGAAACUAAUGAAAAUAUUUCAGAUCAUGAGAAUUUCCCUCGUAGUCUAGCUACAUCUCGGGUUCAUAGAAAAGGGUUUAAUUUUCAUAGCUGAAUAAAUAACUCUUUCUUUCGGGAGUUGUAUAACUCCCAGCAGUCAUGCUCAGCUGAGGAGCGGAAGUACAGGUUGUGUCAGAAUCACCUGUGACACUUUUUCAACUCACACAUUCUCUCCUCUCAACAGGCCCUAUUUUCUCCCUAAGAUUCUGCACAUUCCUGCCCAUGGGGCAGCAUGGAUAGAAUCUGCCACUGUGAUCAACAGCUAUUUAUGAGAGUGAGUUGUAUCUCCUAGAGAUUGGGGUGGGAAAAAGGCUGAGAAACAGCUCCACUGUCUUGGAGCAACAUUUCUCGACAGUGUCCCCAGCUCUUCAGGGAUUCAUGGGGUUGGUAAUGGAGACCUGCAGGCGAUGUUCAUUAUUGUUUAAAACAAUCUUAUGGAAGCUGUAUAUCUGCUGACAGUAGAGCUGCUCUAGCUGCUGGCUGAAACCUUGUCUCUUGUCUUCCAGUUACAAUCACAUCGGCUCCUGGAGAUAAGCUAAUUAUCAGGCUAUUUGGAAGCUCUGAUGAGCUUGAUGAAUAGAAAUGAAAAAAAUGAAUUAUAUUUAAUUAAGUCUGGUCAUUUGAUAGACAGUUUCAAAACAUGUGACACAUAGAAUACAAAUAAUUAAAAGGGCACAUGGCAGCUAAAAAGUUUGUAAAUCACUGACCUCAAAUGAGGUAGAAUUCAGCAUAGAAGAAAUAUCUGUUGAUUUCUCUUUAAUUAACAACUUUCUUAUUACUAUUGGCAUCUCUGUGUAGAUAAGUGCGCAAAUCUACACAUAUGUUCUAAAAUAGAUAGGAAUGAAGAAAGAACAACAGAUAUACUAACUGGGGAUAGAGCUGUCUAUACAUUGACAGCUGUAAUCAUUUAUUAAUUUUAAUGUGAUCUUUUAAAAUUAUUCCUGUUUUAUUUAUCUUCAGUAAAUUUGAAUUCCACAG